Molecule: ribosomal RNA, 788 nt
Filed under: uncultured bacterium
Lineage: Bacteria
Description: bacterial SSU rRNA
Rfam family: Bacterial small subunit ribosomal RNA
Source: RNAcentral
GCCUAACACAUGCAAGUCGAGCGGUAAGGCCCCUUCGGGGGUACACGAGCGGCGAACGGGUGAGUAUCGCGUGGGUAACCUACCCAGAGGUAGGGGAUAGCCCCGGGAAACCGGGGGUAAUACCGCAUGAGUCCUCGACGACGCAAGUCGAUGAGGGGAAAGGCGGGGAUCCUUCGGGACCUGUCGCCUCUGGAUGGGCCCGCGUCCGAUUAGCUUGUUGGUGGGGUAAUGGCCCACCAAGGCUGCGAUCGGUAGCCGGCCUGAGAGGGUGAACGGCCACAUUGGGACUGAGACACGGCCCAGACUCCUACGGGAGGCAGCAGUGGGGAAUUUUGGGCAAUGGGGGAAACCCUGACCCAGCGACGCCGCGUGGAGGAUGAAGGCCUUCGGGUUGUAAACUCCUGUCAGGUGGGAAGAAAUGCUUGCCGGUUAAUACCCGGCAGGAGUUGACGGUACCACCAAAGGAAGCCCCGGCUAACUCCGUGCCAGCAGCCGCGGUAAUACGGAGGGGGCAAGCGUUAUUCGGAUUUACUGGGCGUAAAGCGCACGUAGGUGGCAUGGUAAGUCAAAGGUGAAAGCCCUCGGCUCAACCGAGGAACUGCCUUUGAAACUGCUUUGCUUGAGUCCGGGAGGGGGGAGCGGAAUUCCCAGUGUAGCGGUGAAAUGCGUAGAUACUGGGAGGAACACCGGUGGCGAAGGCGGCUCCCUGGACCGGUACUGACACUGAGGUGCGAAAGCGUGGGUAGCAAACAGGAUUAGAUACCCUGGUAGUCCACGCCGUAAACGAU